GGGCUGAAGACUUGAGAGCUGAGGCGC
This 27-nucleotide non-coding RNA is filed under the name Rattus norvegicus (Norway rat). Lineage: Eukaryota; Metazoa; Chordata; Mammalia; Rodentia; Muridae. The record is from RNAcentral.